RNAcentral lists this long non-coding RNA (519 nucleotides) under Homo sapiens (human). Its description in RNAcentral is "CCDC54 antisense RNA 1". The record is from RNAcentral. Lineage: Eukaryota; Metazoa; Chordata; Mammalia; Primates; Hominidae.
GUUCCUUACGGACAUCUCUGGUGAAUAAUCUGAGAAGGCCUCACUUAUAAUUUGGCUUGAAGAAAACACGAGAGCAAGUCAUGCAAUGUUCAAGUAAGAGUGCAGCAGUCAGAAGAAAAAGCUAUGCAAGGGCCCUAAGGUUGAAAGUGUUCUUAGUGUCUUUGAGAAACAUCAAGGAAUGUGCAAAAGGCAGAAUGAUAGAAGAUGAGAUCAGAGAGGGGAAGUAAAUUCAACAACAGAAAUUGAGGAUGAGGAACAUGGUGUUGCAGUUCAAACCAGUUCCAGCCAAAAUGGACUCUAGUCACAAACAAAUAGUAAUAACAAUCCAAACUUGUGGCUGAAUAGAGUUCUGAAGUUUUGAGAAAGAGGUAAAGAUAUGAAAUAGUUGUCUAGGAGCAGGCAAAAAAAUGGCUUAGAGAAAUUACAAUUGCUACUUAGCACUAAGGGGCCACUUGAGAUUAGAGGUGAUACAUGAAGAGUGAGAUUUGAACUGAGUUUUAAAGAAUGUUAAGAACUUGG